RNAcentral lists this ribosomal RNA (488 nucleotides) under uncultured bacterium. RNAcentral describes it as "bacterial SSU rRNA". It matches the Rfam family "Bacterial small subunit ribosomal RNA", at positions 30 to 517 of the family's 1533-position model. The record is from RNAcentral.
AUUGAACGCUGGCGGCAUGCCUUACACAUGCAAGUCGAACGGUAACAGGCCGCAAGGUGCUGACGAGUGGCGAACGGGUGAGUAACACAUCGGAACGUGCCUGAUAGUGGGGGAUAACUACUCGAAAGAGUAGCUAAUACCGCAUAAGAUCUCAGGAUGAAAGCAGGGGACCGCAAGGCCUUGCGCUAACAGAGCGGCCGAUGGCAGAUUAGGUAGUUGGUGGGAUAAAAGCUUACCAAGCCGACGAUCUGUAGCUGGUCUGAGAGGACGACCAGCCACACUGGGACUGAGACACGGCCCAGACUCCUACGGGAGGCAGCAGUGGGGAAUUUUGGACAAUGGGCGCAAGCCUGAUCCAGCAAUGCCGCGUGCAGGAUGAAGGCCUUCGGUUGUAAACUGCUUUGUACGGACGAAAAGACGUCUGGUUAAUACUGGGCCCAUGACGGUACCGUAAGAAUAAGCACCGGCUAACUACGUGCCAGCAGCCG